CAGGAAUUUCUCAUCUUAGACUUCAGCAGUUGGAGGAGGAAUAAAAAGCAAGUCUGGACUUAUUGCCAUCAUGUCUUUACAUUUUGACCUAAUCCCGAUAAUUCUACACGCAAUACUUCUAAAGAGUCUCUCAGCCCCAGAGCCUGAUACACGAAUGCAUGGCGUGGCAGGAAUUAGAACUGGAAACUGAGGAAGAUGCAAAGGCAACAUUCAAGGUAAACAAGCAAUGAUGAUGUCUGACAUG
This 244-nucleotide long non-coding RNA is filed under the name Crocodylus porosus (Australian saltwater crocodile). RNAcentral describes it as "lncRNA (ENSCPRG00005017608.1)". The record is from RNAcentral. Lineage: Eukaryota; Metazoa; Chordata; Crocodylia; Crocodylidae.